RNAcentral lists this ribosomal RNA (509 nucleotides) under uncultured Actinomycetes bacterium. RNAcentral describes it as "bacterial SSU rRNA". It matches the Rfam family "Bacterial small subunit ribosomal RNA", at positions 365 to 887 of the family's 1533-position model. Lineage: Bacteria; Bacillati; Actinomycetota; Actinomycetes. The record is from RNAcentral.
UGCACAAUGGGCGGAAGCCUGAUGCACGACGCCACGUGACGGAUGAAGUCUUCGGGUUGUAAACCUCUUUCAGCAGGGACGAAGCGUGAGUGACGGUACCUGCAGAAGAAGCACCGGCUAACUACGUGCCAGCAGCCGCGGUAAUACGUAGGGUGCGAGCGUUGUCCGGAAUUACUGGGCGUAAAGAGUUCGUAGGCGGUUUGUCGCGUCGUUUGUGAAAACCCGGGGCUCAACUUCGGGCUUGCAGGCGAUACGGGCAGACUUGAGUGUUUCAGGGGAGACUGGAAUUCCUGGUGUAGCGGUGAAAUGCGCAGAUAUCAGGAGGAACACCGGUGGCGAAGGCGGGUCUCUGGGAAACAACUGACGCUGAGGAACGAAAGCGUGGGUAGCAAACAGGAUUAGAUACCCUGGUAGUCCACGWCGUAAACGGUGGGCGCUAGGUGUGGGUUCCUUCCACGGAAUCUGUGCCGUAGCUAACGUAUUAAGCGCCCCGACUGGGGAGUACGGCG